UGGACGGAGAGCUGUUGGUAAAGAUAGAAAUAAACAGCAGGAAGCGGGAGGGAAAUGCUGUCGGUAUGGGUUGAGAAGGUUUAUAGACAUUUAGUGCACAUCGGAAAAUACAAAUUUGAAACUUUUGCAGUAAACGGGAAAAUGCCUCAUCCAGCGAUUGACUCGAGUUAUUUUUUCCACAAUAUCUUUGACAGUCAAGAGUUCUUUUUUCCAAUAAACACCAGUGAUCAAGGCCAAAGCUCUGUUGCCUGUUGAGAAGGUGAUGUUUGACUUCCUUGUACUGCUGAAGUUGUAUGGUGAAGGUGCUCCCACAACGUGGUUGGGUAGGAGACAAUACAGAUUAUUCACUCAGCGAUAGUGAAGAGUAGAAGAUAUCUGUACAAAUCAACACAUUUUUAAUGUCACAAAAAUAUUGAGAACUUUUGACGU
Non-coding RNA from Chiloscyllium plagiosum (whitespotted bambooshark), 429 nucleotides. The record is from RefSeq and is a predicted model, not a curated record. NCBI's taxonomy places the organism in Eukaryota, Metazoa, Chordata, Chondrichthyes, Orectolobiformes, Hemiscylliidae.